RNAcentral lists this ribosomal RNA (496 nucleotides) under uncultured bacterium. RNAcentral's name for it is "partial 16S ribosomal RNA". It matches the Rfam family "Bacterial small subunit ribosomal RNA", at positions 29 to 507 of the family's 1533-position model. The record is from RNAcentral.
AUGAACGCUGGCGGCGUGCCUCAUACCUGCAAGUCGAGCGAACGGACGAGAAGCUUGCUUUUCUGAUGUUAGCGGCGGACGGGUGAGUAACACGUGGAUAACCUACCUAUAAGACUGGGAUAACUUCGGGAAACCGGAGCUAAUACCGGAUAAUAUUUUGAACCGCAUGGUUCAAAAGUGAAAGACGGUCUUGCUGUCACUUAUAGAUGGAUCCGCGCUGCAUUAGCUAGUUGGUAAGGUAACGGCUUACCAAGGCAACGAUGCAUAGCCGACCUGAGAGGGUGAUCGGCCACACUGGAACUGAGACACGGUCCAGACUCCUACGGGAGGCAGCAGUAGGGAAUCUUCCGCAAUGGGCGAAAGCCUGACGGAGCAACGCCGCGUGAGUGAUGAAGGUCUUCGGAUCGUAAAACUCUGUUAUUAGGGGAGAACAUAUGUGUAAGUAACUGUGCACAUCUUGACGGUACCUAAUCAGAAAGCCACGGCUAACUACGUG